This 520-nucleotide ribosomal RNA is filed under the name Streptomyces siamensis. RNAcentral describes it as "bacterial SSU rRNA". It matches the Rfam family "Bacterial small subunit ribosomal RNA", at positions 57 to 594 of the family's 1533-position model. The record is from RNAcentral. RNAcentral also lists the same sequence under 1 other name. Lineage: Bacteria; Bacillati; Actinomycetota; Actinomycetes; Kitasatosporales; Streptomycetaceae.
GCAAGUCGAACGAUGAAGCCCUUCGGGGUGGAUUAGUGGCGAACGGGUGAGUAACACGUGGGCAAUCUGCCCUUCACUCUGGGACAAGCCCUGGAAACGGGGUCUAAUACCGGAUAACACUCCUGCCUGCAUGGGUGGGGGUUAAAAGCUCCGGCGGUGAAGGAUGAGCCCGCGGCCUAUCAGCUUGUUGGUGAGGUAGUGGCUCACCAAGGCGACGACGGGUAGCCGGCCUGAGAGGGCGACCGGCCACACUGGGACUGAGACACGGCCCAGACUCCUACGGGAGGCAGCAGUGGGGAAUAUUGCACAAUGGGCGAAAGCCUGAUGCAGCGACGCCGCGUGAGGGAUGACGGCCUUCGGGUUGUAAACCUCUUUCAGCAGGGAAGAAGCGAAAGUGACGGUACCUGCAGAAGAAGCGCCGGCUAACUACGUGCCAGCAGCCGCGGUAAUACGUAGGGCGCAAGCGUUGUCCGGAAUUAUUGGGCGUAAAGAGCUCGUAGGCGGCUUGUCACGUCGGUUG